UACGAAGGGGGCUAGCGUUGUUCGGAAUUACUGGGCGUAAAGGGCGCGCAGGCGGUCCCUCAAGUCAGGCGUGAAAGCCCCGGGCUCAACCUGGGAACUGCGCUUGAGACUGCGGGACUGGAGUUCGGGAGAGGAGAGCGGAAUUCCCAGUGUAGAGGUGAAAUUCGUAGAUAUCAUCAGGAACACCAGAGGCGAAGGCGGCUCACUGGGUCUCUUCUGACGCUGAGGAACGAAAGCUAGGGGAGCAAACGGG
Molecule: ribosomal RNA, 253 nt
Filed under: uncultured bacterium
Lineage: Bacteria
Description: partial 16S ribosomal RNA
Rfam family: Bacterial small subunit ribosomal RNA
Source: RNAcentral